Molecule: non-coding RNA, 45 nt
Organism: Schistosoma rodhaini
Lineage: Eukaryota; Metazoa; Platyhelminthes; Trematoda; Strigeidida; Schistosomatidae
Source: Rfam
AUCCAGAUGAAGCGCCCCACGUAGGACGAAACGCUCGUCCUGGAU